Molecule: long non-coding RNA, 428 nt
Organism: Eriocheir sinensis (Chinese mitten crab)
Lineage: Eukaryota; Metazoa; Arthropoda; Malacostraca; Decapoda; Varunidae
Exons: 3
Source: RefSeq, a predicted model, not a curated record
AGGUCCUAUCGAGGGGCACGUUCCGGACAAACACGGCUGCAAAUUGUACUAACGUGCCUUGUAGCGGCUGCGGGCCCUUGUGAGCAGAACUGAAGUACCUAAUGAAGCAACUCCUCUGACCAGUCAAGCUCAGGUGGGUGGUGAGGGCGCCGGACUCUAAUGGGUCUUCCGGGCAGGUAAGCUGAUUGACGUCACGUUCAUUACAGGUGAUUAGCACGUUAGCGCCAUUCCAUUUUCCAAUCAGAUCACCCCUUGCACAAAGCUGGCCCGGAAGACUAAAUUAAUGGAGGUCUCAAAAUGGGGGAAUUCAAAAACAAAAACAGUAUCUUGAAUUGUGUGCUUAUUGAACUGAAAAAAAAAAUCUUGAUUUGUGUGAUACUUAAACAUAAAAAUAUCUUGAUUUGUGUGAUACUUAAACAUAAAAAUAU